CUUGAUCGAGCCGAGCAGCAGGGGCUGUGAGGCCGGGCGGCUGCGGCCGUAGGUGGCCAGCAGGGCCUGGGCUUC
RNAcentral lists this non-coding RNA (75 nucleotides) under Lentzea aerocolonigenes. Lineage: Bacteria; Bacillati; Actinomycetota; Actinomycetes; Pseudonocardiales; Pseudonocardiaceae. The record is from RNAcentral.